Long non-coding RNA from Acyrthosiphon pisum (pea aphid), 449 nucleotides. RefSeq lists it as uncharacterized. The record is from RefSeq and is a predicted model, not a curated record. NCBI's taxonomy places the organism in Eukaryota, Metazoa, Arthropoda, Insecta, Hemiptera, Aphididae. The transcript has 3 exons.
CACAACACCGACGAGUAACAAUAAUCUAGCCACAAGUAAUGUUUUACAAAAAAGUUCAUCAUAUUCAAAAAGCGGUUCAAAUGUAAAAAGAAGUCUUUUCACUGAUGAUGAUAAUAAUAUUAAUUUUGAGAAAAAAUCUUCAAAGACUCUUGACACAACACCGACGAGUAACAAUAAUCUAGCCGCAAGUCAUGUUUUACAGAAAAGUUCAUCAUAUUCAAAAAGCGGUUCAAAUGUAAAUAGAAGUCUGUUCACUGAUGAUGAUAAUAAUAUUAAUUUUGAGAAAAAAUCUUCAAAGAAUCUUGAUACAACACCGACAAGUUACAAUAAUCUAUCUGCAAGUCAUGUUUUACAGAAAAGUUCAUCAUAUUCAAAAAGCGGUUCAAAUGUAAAUAGAAGUCUGUUCACUGAUGAUGAUGAUAAUAUUAAUUUUGAGAAAAAAUAUUUAA